This 207-nucleotide ribosomal RNA is filed under the name uncultured bacterium. Its description in RNAcentral is "partial 16S ribosomal RNA". It matches the Rfam family "Bacterial small subunit ribosomal RNA", at positions 568 to 774 of the family's 1533-position model. The record is from RNAcentral.
CACGUAGGCGGCUUGGUAAGUCAGAUGUGAAAGCCCGGGGCUUAACCCCGGAAGUGCAUUUGAUACUGUCAGGCUUGAGUAUGGGAGAGGGAAGUGGAAUUCCUGGUGUAGAGGUGAAAUUCGUAGAUAUCAGGAGGAACACCGGUGGCGAAGGCGACUUCCUGGACCAAUACUGACGCUGAGGUGCGAAGGCGCGGGUAGCAAACA